This is a small nuclear RNA of Microcebus murinus (gray mouse lemur), 106 nucleotides long. The record is from Ensembl. NCBI's taxonomy places the organism in Eukaryota, Metazoa, Chordata, Mammalia, Primates, Cheirogaleidae.
UUGUUGGUUUUGCAGCAUAUAUACUAAAAUUGGAGCAAUACAGAAAUGAUUAGCAUGAUCCCUGUGCAACAAUGACAUGCAAAUUCAUGAAGUGUUCCGUAUUUUU